Molecule: microRNA precursor, 201 nt
Organism: Medicago truncatula (barrel medic)
Lineage: Eukaryota; Viridiplantae; Streptophyta; Magnoliopsida; Fabales; Fabaceae
Rfam family: MIR2619 microRNA precursor family
Source: Rfam
AAACAGCCCCCUAUGUAUUAGAUCUUUGGCAGUUUUGGCCCCCACAGCCACUUUUGACCUAGUCUUCGCUGACGUGCCACCCACAUCCCUUAAGUGAGGUGCCACGUGUCGACCAUUGUGGGUGCCACGUCAGCAAAUACUAAGUCAAAAGUGGCCUUGGGGGCCAAAACUGCCAAAGAUCCAAUACAUAGGGGGCUGUUU